GGAAAGAUGGCUGAGUGGAUUAAAGUACGGACCUGGAACGUCCGCGUAAUGAUACAAUUACCGAGGGUUCGAAUCCCUCUCUUUCC
This 86-nucleotide transfer RNA is filed under the name Pseudomuriella schumacherensis. RNAcentral describes it as "tRNA-Ser". It matches the Rfam family "tRNA". Rfam says of the family: Transfer RNA (tRNA) molecules are approximately 80 nucleotides in length. Their secondary structure includes four short double-helical elements and three loops (D, anti-codon, and T loops). The record is from RNAcentral. Lineage: Eukaryota; Viridiplantae; Chlorophyta; Chlorophyceae; Sphaeropleales; Pseudomuriellaceae.